UUUGGCUAAAGAUGAUGGUCGAAUGUUAAGUGUAGAAUACUCGAGCGGCGGACGGCUGAGUAACGCGUAGGAAUGUACCCCAAAGUGAGGGAUAAGCUCCAGAAAUGGUGUCUAAUACCGCAUAUGAUCUUCGGAUUAAAGCUUUUAUUAGCGCUUUGGGAACAGCCUGCGUCUGAUUAGAUAGUUGGUGAGGUAAAGGCUCACCAAGUCGACGAUCAGUAGCUGAUCUGAGAGGAUGAUCAGCCAGACUGGAACUGAGACACGGUCCAGACUCCUACGGGAGGCAGCAGUAAGGAAUCUUCCACAAUGGGGGCAACCCUGAUGGAGCAACGCCGCGUGCGGGAUGAAGGCCUUAGGGUCGUAAACCGCUUUUGUUAGCGAAGAAUAUGACGGUAACUAACGAAUAAGGGUCGGCUAACUACGUGCCAGCAGCCGCGGUCAUACGUAGGACCCAAGCGUUAUCCGGAGUGACUGGGCGUAAAGAGUUGCGUAGGUGGCUCAUUAAGUGAGUAGUGAAAUCGUGUGGCUCAACCAUACGGCUAUUACUCAAACUGGUGAGCUCGAGAAUGGUAGAGGUAGCUGGAAUUUCUAGUGUAGGAGUGAAAUCCGUAGAUAUUAGAAGGAACACCAAUGGCGUAGGCAGGCUACUGGACCAUUUCUGACACUGAGGCACGAAAGCGUGGGGAGCGAACCGGAUUAGAUACCCGGGUAGUCCACGCCGUAAACUAUGGAUACUAGCUGUGGGGGGUAUCGACCCCCUCCGUAGCGAAGCUAACGCGUUAGGUAUCCCGCCUGUGGAGUACGGUCGCAAGACUAAAACAUAAAGGAAUUGACGGGGACCCGCACAAGCGGUGGAGCGUGUUCUUUAUUCGAUGAUAAACGAAGAACCUUACCA
RNAcentral lists this ribosomal RNA (895 nucleotides) under uncultured bacterium. Its description in RNAcentral is "bacterial SSU rRNA". It matches the Rfam family "Bacterial small subunit ribosomal RNA", at positions 43 to 976 of the family's 1533-position model. The record is from RNAcentral.